AUUUGUAUAGUUUAUAUAAAAAUAUUACAUUUUCAUUGUAAAGAAAAGGUUACUUUAUAAAUA
RNAcentral lists this transfer RNA (63 nucleotides) under Kilauella sp. KispEL. RNAcentral describes it as "tRNA-Glu". Lineage: Eukaryota; Metazoa; Arthropoda; Insecta; Psocodea; Elipsocidae. The record is from RNAcentral.